GCUCUUAAAGCCCCGAUCAUCGUAUGCAUUGGUUUAAACAGAGAAAAAUGUUAAAGCUUAAGUAAUCUUGUUUAACUAUUUUCUUUAUUGACACCGAAACCUAGUGGUAACGGCCUUACUAGUAAUUAGCUACCGUUUAGGAUGGGCCUAUUAAGAAAGUAAUGAUCUUAAGUGGAAAUAUGAAGAAUAAAUAGUCUCGUCA
RNAcentral lists this long non-coding RNA (202 nucleotides) under Brassica napus (rape). RNAcentral's name for it is "long non-coding RNA (BNAP_LNC016681)". The record is from RNAcentral. Lineage: Eukaryota; Viridiplantae; Streptophyta; Magnoliopsida; Brassicales; Brassicaceae.